GCGACGGGUCGAAUUAUCGGCAAUACAGAGAUGGUAUAGGUGCAUACAAGUUCUUAGCGGAUGGCACGAAAUUGCAAGACUUUGACGUCUACCACGUUGAGUGGGACGGUAGAAAGCUCGCUGACCUCUUCAGUGGUUUGCAAGACGGAGAGAUCCUGGUUUUGGCUAGUCAACGUCGCCGUGUUGCUAGCCCGACAAAGAUUAAUGUCAAGCUUGCCUUUGACGCCUUCGAAACGCUGAUUUAUGGCGAAGUCACUGGAAAUGGUUUGCUGCGAUCCGUACCUGACAAAGGAACAUGGGCAUGUGUCUAUCAGAAAGGAAAUCCAAUUAGCUUCCAAGAAGAGGUCAAUGCUCUUGGCCACACAUCGACCGCAGUUCUAGACGCAGGGAAUGGUCUCUUAUUUCUCGCAGAGAGUAUAGGCAUUUCAGACUACAGGAAACAGGAAGACAAUUUCCG
Molecule: long non-coding RNA, 457 nt
Organism: Mya arenaria
Lineage: Eukaryota; Metazoa; Mollusca; Bivalvia; Myida; Myidae
Exons: 3
Source: RefSeq, a predicted model, not a curated record